This 669-nucleotide ribosomal RNA is filed under the name Heterocypris salina. RNAcentral describes it as "partial large subunit ribosomal RNA". It matches the Rfam family "Eukaryotic large subunit ribosomal RNA", at positions 366 to 777 of the family's 3401-position model. The record is from RNAcentral. Lineage: Eukaryota; Metazoa; Arthropoda; Ostracoda; Podocopida; Cyprididae.
GAAAAGAACUUUGAAGAGAGAGUUCAAGAGUGCGUGAAACCCUCCAGAGGUAAACGGUUGGAAUCAGGCCGUGGCUUCUGGGUUUUCGCUGGGGCAGCUGUCUGCUGAUUAGUCUUGGAGAAUGGAGCGCUUUCGGGUGCUUGGUCUCUGGGACCGAUCAAAUCGCAGGCGUUGUCACUAGUCUUCUCCCAGAUCGCUGCCGCAGCCGGUUGGGGUUGAAAAUUCCCUCUGGUUACCCGCAGGGAGCUGCGCCUUCAACGUUUCGGCGUUGUGUGGUGCAACCUGUUGGGGAUUCGCUGGGGGAAACCUGACCGCAGUUGACAGACUGAUAGGGCGUCGGCACUUGGUGCGGGCGAACUGGUGCGCGACGGGCCGAUCCGGCAGGGUGUUUGCCGCAGUGCAGCUCUCCGGGUUGGUUCGUGUAGGCGCUUGCCAGGUUCUCGCCUUCAGGCGCUCCUAUGCUUUGCGGCAUCUGUUGCCUCUGUUCCUACCGACCCGUCUUGAAACACGGACCAAGGAGUCUAACUUGUAUGCGAGUGAUCGAGUUUUUUUCAAAGCUCGAACGCAAAAUGAAUGUGAAGGUUCUCGUACGAAAGCUGACGGAGGAUCCCCGGAGUAAGCCCUCCUCGUGUGGCAAGGCCGGGGCGCACUCCGGGGGCAUCAAAAACU